RNAcentral lists this ribosomal RNA (252 nucleotides) under uncultured bacterium. RNAcentral's name for it is "partial 16S ribosomal RNA". It matches the Rfam family "Bacterial small subunit ribosomal RNA", at positions 524 to 776 of the family's 1533-position model. The record is from RNAcentral.
GACGUAGGGGACGAGCGUUGUCCGGAUUCAUUGGGCGUAAAGCGCGCGUAGGCGGCUACUUAAGUCGGAUGUGAAAGCCCCUGGCUCAACUGGGGAAGUGCACCCGAAACUGAGCAGCUAGAGUACGAAAGAGGGUCGCGGAAUUCCCGGUGUAGAGGUGAAAUUCGUAGAUAUCGGGAGGAACACCGGUGGCGAAGGCGGGUCUCUGGGCCGAUACUGACGCUGAGGAGCGAAAGCGUGGGAGCGAACAGG